AACGAACGCUGGCGGCAUGCCUAACACAUGCAAGUCGAACGAGACCUUCGGGUCUAGUGGCGCACGGGUGCGUAACGCGUGGGAACCUGCCCUUAGGUUCGGAAUAACUCCCCGAAAGGGGUGCUAAUACCGGAUAAUGUCUUCGGACCAAAGAUUUAUCGCCUGUGGAUGGGCCCGCGUUGGAUUAGCUAGUUGGUAGGGUAAAAGCCUACCAAGGCGACGAUCCAUAGCUGGUCUGAGAGGAUGAUCAGCCACACUGGGACUGAGACACGGCCCAGACUCCGACGGGAGGCAGCAGUGGGGAAUAGUGGACAAUGGGCGAAAGCCUGAGCCAGCAAUGCCGCGUGAGUGAUGAAGGCCUUAGGGUUGCAAAGCUCUUUUACCCGGGAUGAUAAUGACAGUACCGGGAGAAUAAGCUCCGGCUAACUCCGUG
RNAcentral lists this ribosomal RNA (433 nucleotides) under uncultured bacterium. RNAcentral describes it as "partial 16S ribosomal RNA". It matches the Rfam family "Bacterial small subunit ribosomal RNA", at positions 29 to 507 of the family's 1533-position model. The record is from RNAcentral.